This is a non-coding RNA of Brassica napus (rape), 102 nucleotides long. The record is from Rfam. Lineage: Eukaryota; Viridiplantae; Streptophyta; Magnoliopsida; Brassicales; Brassicaceae.
GUAGUUGCAGAUGCAGCAUCAUUAAGAUUCACAAGAGAUGUGCUUUCCUUUGUUUGGGCUCGUUUCGAAUGGGAAUCUUGAUGAUGCUGCAUCAGCAAAUAC